UACGGAGGGUGCAAGCGUUGUCCGGAUUUAUUGGGUUUAAAGGGUGCGUAGGCGGCCAUUUAAGUCUGGGGUGAAAGCCCGUUGCUCAACAACGGAACUGCCCUGGAAACUGGAUGGCUUGAGUACAGACGAGGGUGGCGGAAUGGAUGCUGUAGCGGUGAAAUGCAUAGAUAGCAUCCAGAACCCCGAUUGCGAAGGCAGCUGCCUAGACUGUAACUGACGCUGAGGCACGAAAGCGUGGGGAGCGAACAG
Molecule: ribosomal RNA, 252 nt
Filed under: uncultured bacterium
Lineage: Bacteria
Description: partial 16S ribosomal RNA
Rfam family: Bacterial small subunit ribosomal RNA
Source: RNAcentral